GCUUGAUGUUCUCCCGGGACAUCCAGGUCUCCCUCACCCAGUUUGAACACAUUAAUUGGCAGAAGUUUCCCCUGUGAUCUUCCAGUACAACAUUCUUCCUGCAGCCACACCUGACCAGUGGGAGGACUGACUAAAUUCUUCAUCCUCUCCAUCCCAUGCCUUUACGUCUGCUGUGUCUCCCACGUGUUCGUGGAUCGUGCCUGAGGCUGGGACAGACAACUCACAACCAUGAAGAAAAGGCAAAGAGAAUCACAAAGAUGCCAGCCCAACGCUGGGAAGCUACUAGCCUACACCAAUGCUAACAACCAUCCAUUUAUGACUUCUUGUCAUGUGAGGAGAAUGAACCUUCUGUGUGAAUGUCACUUGACUAAGAACAAAUAACAACAAAAGAACUCACCUACGUUCCUUCUAACUAAAGGAUGUGUUUAUUAUUUCCCCUUUCUAACACCACACUCCACAGAACUACUUAUCUACAUUUAUUUAACAAGGCACAUAACUUACAGGUGCCGUAGGAAAGAAGGAAGGAAUGAAGACAACAAAGCAGGAAGGCAGGCAGGAAGAAAAACACCUAUAAAAUCAAGGGCAGUAGAAACCACAGAAGAAAGCCAGAAAACCAGCCAGAUAGAUGGCUGCUGAAACAAUUCAAGAGAGACAUGAUGAUCUACUAUAAUGGCGGUGGAGAACAGAUAGAAGUUACUGUGAAGAUGAAAGGAGAUGAUGUGUGUAACACUCACAGACUGGGACCCAGGAUGUAUGCAUCAGAUUUUAGGGAAACAUUGGUCUUCUUUCUCACCAUGGUUCAAGGUCUUGGGAUGCCUCCAAGACACGCUGACAAAAAGUCCCAUGAUUUUGUAGCUUAGUGUGUUGUGCCACAAAAAAGCCUUCAAAAUUAUUAAAAUAAGUUUUCCCAUAACAAAAUAAGGGAUCUACAACUAAAUAGAAGUAUUAAUGAUUAUUUAAUACUUCAGAAAGAAUGAAAGAGAGGAGAGAUUUUCUAUACUUGGGGUCUAUGAAAUUCCCUUCUAUCCAUUAAAAAAAUAAAGAACUUUUAAAACAAGGUUGAAUAUGUUCCUCUUCUUCAUAACCAAGGUUCUCUAAGACAGAAAUAUUAACAGCAGAAAAAAUAUUGUGUUGAGAUUAAAUUAAGAAAAAUAUACAUAUAUAUGUACUUUUUUCCCCAGUUCAAAGGACGAUAAAAAAUAAACUACAUAUAUAUACCCCACAUAGAUAUAUAAAUAGUUAGAUAAAUAUAGAGAUAUAGAUAAUCUACUUUCAUGAUUUAUAAUAAGGACACAGAAAAAGGCUGGGAUGGCAGUGGGGAAUGAGCAGAGUCUGAAUUUCUGUACUCCAGCAUAGCACUUACACUAUGAGAAACAGUAUUAGCUAGAGCUAUGUUAGUGCAAUUGUUAAAAGCUCUGUAUUUUACAUGAAAACUUGAGCCAUUGAAAAUAACAGAAUUAGCUAGAACUGGCAUCAAGCCUUAAUGCCAGAAUGUAACCAGUCCACAGAGGUAGGAAGAUGUUCUUAGGCAGGGACCCAAAAAGAGGACUGACACAUAAUAAAGGAUCAGGAUAAUACAAGGCUAAUAAAAAAGAGAAAAGGGACUGAUGCUUUGCUAUUUCUGAGUAAGGAAUUCUUCUAGAUUCUUAGUGAGAAGGAAUUAAGGUAAAGCCAAAGCGAUACGUAGUAUUUAUGCUUUGUUGUAUAUAUUAUGGUUUAUGCAGCUUUUAAAUAAACUAUAUGUAGUUCAUUCUGUCUACGAUGGUAGCAAUAAUAGCUAUUAUUUAUUGAUGUCUUAUUAUAUACUUGAUGUUCAGCGAGGUAUUACAUAUGUCCACAUCUCUUUGCUCACAUGACUCCAAGCUGGCAUAGGCCUCUUCCCUGCAUCCAUCCUUCCAAGAGCAGAAAGCGUAUACCUGCUGGUGUAUGCUCCUUCAUUUCAAGGAGUUGCAAAGGAGUCUUAUAUAUAAAAGUGUGGAUGGAGCUUGGACAUGUGGGUGGAGGUGUCCAUUGGCAUAUGAACUGAGGCCCUUUGUAGUAUGGAUGGGAAGAGACAGAAGGUGGGCUGGGGGCUGGUUCUCCUACACUGCCACAGUCCAUCAUUAAACUUUGAAGAGUCCAAUAAUUCUAAACUAGAACCAUACCAUCUGGGUUUUAAUGAAAUUUGUCAAAGGUGGUAAGGGAUAAAAAAGACUUUAUUUAACAGUUAGCUUGAUUUUUAUAACCAUGAAGUAUUUAGCCAUAGGACACACGGUCCUCUAUUUGUACCCUUUUUCGGGGACUAUAAAUUCAGAGGUAGGUUUAGCACCUAGCACAGUGUCUG
RNAcentral lists this long non-coding RNA (2323 nucleotides) under Homo sapiens (human). Its description in RNAcentral is "HSALNT0178820". Lineage: Eukaryota; Metazoa; Chordata; Mammalia; Primates; Hominidae. The record is from RNAcentral.